UAAACUACGAUUAGAUACCCUAUUAUUUUAGAAGUUAGAUAAUAAAUUUGAGUAGUAAGAGUUAAGGUCUUGAAACUUAAAAAUUCUGACGGUAUUUUAGUCUUAUCAGAGGAACUUGUCCUGUAAUCGAUAAUCCUCGUUUAACUUUACUUAAUUUAGUUAAUCAACUUAUAUACCGCCGUCGCCAGGGUAUUUUAAGAAAAUAUGCUCAAGAUUUUUGUGAAAAGUAUGUCAGGUCAAGGUGUAGUCAAUAGUUAAGAAGAGAUGAGUUACAAUAUAAAUUAUAUACACGGAAUUCUAGAUUGAAAAAUUUAAAGGAAGGUGGAUUUGGAUGUAAUAUUAUUAAAUGAAAUAAUAUGACAUAAGCUCUAAAAUAUGUACACAUCGCCCGUCGCUCUUA
RNAcentral lists this ribosomal RNA (400 nucleotides) under Dolania americana. Its description in RNAcentral is "partial 12S ribosomal RNA". The record is from RNAcentral. Lineage: Eukaryota; Metazoa; Arthropoda; Insecta; Ephemeroptera; Behningiidae.